CCUACGGGUGGCAGCAGUGAGGAAUAUUGGUCAAUGGACGCAAGCCUGAACCAGCCAUGCCGCGUGCAGGAAGACGGCUCUAUGAGUUGUAAACUGCUUUUGUACGAGGGUAAACGCAGAUACGCGUAUCUGUCUGAAAGUAUCGUACGAAUAAGGAUCGGCUAACUCCGUGCCAGCAGCCGCGGUAAUACGGAGGAUUCAAGCGUUAUCCGGAUUUAUUGGGGUUAAAGGGGGCGUAGGCGGGCGGUUAAGUUAGCGGUGAAAUCCCGAGGCUCAACUUCGGAAUUGCCUCUGAUACUGUUCGGCUAGAGAGUAGUUGAGGUAGGCGGAAUGUAUGGUGUAGCGGUGAAAUGCUUAGAGAUCAUACAGAACACCGAUUGCGAAGGCAGCUUACCAAGCUACUUCUGACGUUGAGGCACGAAAGCGUGGGGAGCAAACAGGAUUAGAUACCCGUGUAGUC
Molecule: ribosomal RNA, 460 nt
Filed under: uncultured bacterium
Lineage: Bacteria
Description: partial 16S ribosomal RNA
Rfam family: Bacterial small subunit ribosomal RNA
Source: RNAcentral